This 2298-nucleotide long non-coding RNA is filed under the name Prunus persica (peach). RNAcentral describes it as "long non-coding RNA (PPER_LNC005603)". The record is from RNAcentral. Lineage: Eukaryota; Viridiplantae; Streptophyta; Magnoliopsida; Rosales; Rosaceae.
GCGGGUCUCUCUCUCCUCUCCCUAGCGUGCGACAGCCGGCCACGUUUUGGCCGGCCGUGCUCUCCUCCGGCCACCAAUGACGACGGGACCGGUACCAAAAUGACCGGGCCGUCGUCCUCUUCCUACCCCAGCCAGCCCCCGCCUCCAACCCCCGCGGUUUCGCCGGAAUUUGGAGAAGAAGCGGUCGACGUCGCCGGAUCUUCACAGCCGCCGAUCUCCCUCCUCCGGCCACCAAUUCCGUCGACCCAGGUAUGGAUUUUGAACCUCUCGAGCUGCUCUAGUUGAUGGUUGGGUAGGAUUAGAUCGAUUCUUAGCGUAGACAACUCGAUUUUCAAAUUGAAAAACGGCCGAACUUCGGCCGUCGUGAUCGGCCAUUUCCGGCCACUUUUUGGGGUAGGUCCAAGAACAAAAGUGGCUCCAAAUAGGGUGUUAUACCUAGGGUAGGAGUUUGGAGCCGUGGUUUUGAGAUUUUCCGGCGAAGCGUUAUCGCUUUGGGCACCCACGCGCUGCCGGCGCGUGCGGCAGCGCGUGGGCACUGUAGAAAAAUAGCACUGUAUUCCGAUGAGAUCCUUAGGUUGUCACGAGUGCGUAGGAUUUCGCGGAUCUCAAUUCGGACGUCAUUUGACUAUCGAACGGAUAAUCGCAUAUUAUGCGUUAUCCGGGUUCGAUAGGUUGGGACCGUCGGAUGGUCCCAAAUUUAAUAUAUGUUAAUCUAGGUAUUUAUAGGAUCAUGUAGGAAUUCACGGAUCGUGAAUCGGAGCCCCGGAUGUUCCGAAUAAUAAUUUAAAGUUUAUAUUUUAUAUUAACCGUCAGAUCAUGCGAUCGUGAGAAAUUCGACCGUCUGAUCUGAACCAAACUCGCAGAACAAGUGUCCUAUACCUGGUAGAACCCAUAGAGACUUUCGGAUCGGAAAUUGGAGGUCGUGAGUUCUGCAAGUCCGUUUGACCAGGGUUAGAGUAGUUUGACCCUUGGUUGACCGUGAAUUUCCCGGAGUAAUCUCACCCUUCCGGGGGAGAUUAUCGGGAGCUAGACUAUUGUGGAGGGUUACACAAUAUAAGAAUUAAUUUAUAUAAAUAUAAUUAUAGGUGGUUGUACAAGGGUACAACAGAGUCUAGAAUGUCAGUUUGGAGUGCUAUACGCACUACUGUAGGUACCUCCUCGGAUUUUGGAUUCACUACAAGCACCACCAAGUGAAAGUUAGGUCCCGCUUGGCGUAGGUUAUUCGGCGUGUUGACAGGCCCCAUACGUGGCGUUGGUUGUACCGGCGUAUGGGGAGAAUAUGUGAAAUACAGAUAAAUGAAAUAAGAUAUCGCCCAAGUGCGGAAUUGGGUUUUUAGGGAAGAACUACGUGUGGCUUGAUCCCUCAAGGAGGGUACGUAGGCAGCCUAAGGUUAUUAGGUGCAGCCACAGACUAAAUAUUAGUCAUAUUUUGUAUUUGAAUUGUUUGGUAGUUGUUUGAGAAUUAUUGGAAGGCCGAAGGCCAUUUAUGAAAAUUUGCAUGAAAUUAUAUUGUGCAUGCUGCCAGUUGGGAAUAUUAAAUGCGUUUUUAUGCAGGUAUAAAUUUUGGGAAAUGUCCAAAUUAUAGGGGAGACUCUGCCGAAAUUUCGACAGGAAGUCUCGAUUUUUAGUAAGUGGGCCUGACAUCGGGGUGAUGUCAGGAAUUGCAAAGGGUUCGUCUCGGAUUUUGAGAAAAUUCGGGGCGGGUCCUUUCAUUGGAUGUUCCGGUGUGGGAACUUUGGAGUUUUCUCCCCCGGUUGGAACGCUCAUCCCUAGACGCAUGAUAGCACUUGGAAAUCCUGCGGACUAAUCAAACGAUCCCCCAGUUGGAUUGUUUUCUCUAGUACCUAGGUAGUGUGAUGGGUAUAUCGUAUAGCCUUGUAUAGUUAUUUAUAUAUAUAUAUAUUUAUAUGUAUAUGCAUAGUUGAGUGAGUGAAGAAUUAGAGUUUGUUAGUGGUUUGGCAGGAGUUGUAAGUUUGAGAAAAUGGGGUUUGUGAAAGAGAUGAUUUGUAUUUGAAGAGUUAUAAAUGAAUCAUGUUUUGAGUAAUUAAAUAUUGAAUUGUGAACCUGCUGAAUUGAGCAUUAUCUUUACACGGUGGGGUUACUAUAUUGUUUUAAUUGCAAAUCUGGUUUUUGUCCCUCCCAGUCAGUAGUCGCUCCAAGAAGUGUGCAAGUGGUGUACGAGGCUCGAACUGUGAAUCUUCCUAGUUAGGAAUUGAGUAAUUUCUUCUACUCAACUGUUCUUGUAAUCUAAAUUCAGUAGAUGCUCUGUUAUCGUCCAUGGUAGAUUUUACUUGUGAG